This 253-nucleotide ribosomal RNA is filed under the name uncultured bacterium. Its description in RNAcentral is "partial 16S ribosomal RNA". It matches the Rfam family "Bacterial small subunit ribosomal RNA", at positions 524 to 776 of the family's 1533-position model. The record is from RNAcentral.
UACGGAGGGGGCUAGCGUUGUUCGGAAUUACUGGGCGUAAAGCGCGCGUAGGCGGCUUUGUAAGUUAGAGGUGAAAGCCCGGAGCUCAACUCCGGAACUGCCUUUAAGACUGCAUCGCUAGAAUCAUGGAGAGGUUAGUGGAAUUCCGAGUGUAGAGGUGAAAUUCGUAGAUAUUCGGAAGAACACCAGUGGCGAAGGCGACUAACUGGACAUGUAUUGACGCUGAGGUGCGAAAGCGUGGGGAGCAAACAGG